This 238-nucleotide ribosomal RNA is filed under the name Pycnococcus provasolii. Its description in RNAcentral is "partial Bacterial small subunit ribosomal RNA". It matches the Rfam family "Bacterial small subunit ribosomal RNA", at positions 286 to 517 of the family's 1533-position model. The record is from RNAcentral. Lineage: Eukaryota; Viridiplantae; Chlorophyta; Pseudoscourfieldiophyceae; Pseudoscourfieldiales; Pycnococcaceae.
GCUGGUCUGAGAGGACGACCAGCCUCACUGGAACUGAGACACGGUCCAGACACCUACGGGUGGCAGCAGUCGAGAAUUUUUCUCAAUGGGCGAAAGCCUGAAGGAGCGACGCCGCGUGGGGGAUGAAGGGCUUCGGUCCGUAAACCCCUGUCAUUUGCGAACAAACCUUAUGAUUGAACAUUUCAUGAGCUGAUUGUAGCGAAAGAGGAAGGGACGGCUAACUCUGUGCCAGCAGCCG